This 23-nucleotide microRNA is filed under the name Drosophila virilis. RNAcentral's name for it is "dvi-miR-974-3p". Its record names the gene dvi-miR-974-3p. Lineage: Eukaryota; Metazoa; Arthropoda; Insecta; Diptera; Drosophilidae. The record is from miRBase by way of RNAcentral.
UAAGACUUUUUUGGUUCGCUAUG